This 887-nucleotide long non-coding RNA is filed under the name Fragaria vesca (wild strawberry). Its description in RNAcentral is "long non-coding RNA (FVES_LNC004375)". Lineage: Eukaryota; Viridiplantae; Streptophyta; Magnoliopsida; Rosales; Rosaceae. The record is from RNAcentral.
AUUUUUUACCACAGACAUCUUUCGUCAUAAUGAUCAUAUCUGACGGUCGAAUUUUGGUUUGUGAAUUUUACUCAUUGGAAUCACAACGUGUCUACUAAUGUUCUAUAACUUGUUUAGUAGGUUAUACAACUUUGUGAACCAACUCUACAUAGGAAGCAAAAUUAUGAAAAAUCUCGUGAAAUAAGAUGUGUUCAAAAUGGUGAAAUACGGCUAUGGUUCAAAAAUCACGUAAAUCGGGUAAAGUCUCGGAGCCGAUAGUAGUGGUCAACCCUAUUUACCGUUAUUAUUCCUUAUGGGGAGCCCUAUCGUCGGAAGGUAAAUGUCUCAAAAUUUUUAUAUGGGCAGUUGCGUCUCAUCUACGUGAGAGUUUUUUGUAUGGAAGGUUUGACCAAAUUACGUAAUAUAGGGAGAGAUAUGAGCGUUUUCGUGAAUUUAUAGACUUUAGCCGACGAAAAUAUAUGAAAAGUCGUCGGCUAAGGUCAAAAAAUUUCAAAAUUUUUUAGGCGGUAAACCAAAGUUGGAGGAAAAUUUUCAAAGGACUUUAGCCGACGAAAAUAUAUGAAAAGUCGUCGGCUAAAGUCGAAAAAUUUUCAAAAUUUUCAAAAUUUUCAACCAAAAUUUUUUGGCGGUCAACCAAAAUUUUCAAAAGAGUUUAGCCGACGAAAAUAAAGAAUUUCGUCGGCUAAAGUUCUUUAUAUAGGCGAAGAUGGAUGGUAAGAAGUCUAUUAUCUGCCAGAUUUUCUUCUCGGCCUAGCUCCGCCGUCAAGCCACCGGAGACCGUCACACUUGUCCCAAAAGCUUCGCCGUCGUCUCUACUUCAUUGCUGGAUAGGUGGUGCAUCGAGUGGCGCCGCCGUGAGGGAUAAAUCGAGCUCCAAAACUCCGCCG